This is a long non-coding RNA of Elgaria multicarinata webbii, 320 nucleotides long. RefSeq lists it as uncharacterized. The record is from RefSeq and is a predicted model, not a curated record. The transcript has 3 exons. NCBI's taxonomy places the organism in Eukaryota, Metazoa, Chordata, Lepidosauria, Squamata, Anguidae.
CCCCCGUGAUCCUUUCGCUGCUCUUCUCGCUCCUCUCGGUGGGCGCCUGCUUUCUGCUCAGCGCCAAGACCUCCAAGCUGCAGGGACGGCUGGUGGCCCUUGAGGAGGAGUUGGCCAGCCGCGCUUGGAGCCCGGGAGACCAGUUUGGCGCCGAGCCUCUCCUCGCCGUGUUGCAGCCUCAGGUGGACGACCUUCUGCAGGAGAAACUAAGUGAAGGAUUAGCCAAACUACGUACAGCAAGAGAGGUACCAUCUGAAUGCAGGUGUCCACCAGGUCCACCAGGAAGACGAGGAAAGCCUGGACGGCGAGGAGAGACAGGU